UUUGUAUUCCCUCCGUCCGGAAUUACUUGUCUCGAAAAUGGAUAUAUCUAGAAUUAAAAUAGGUCUAGAUAUAUCCAUUUCUGCGACAAGUAAUUCCGAACGGAGGGAGUAAUUA
Non-coding RNA from Triticum urartu, 115 nucleotides. The record is from Rfam. NCBI's taxonomy places the organism in Eukaryota, Viridiplantae, Streptophyta, Magnoliopsida, Poales, Poaceae.